This is a long non-coding RNA of Bufo gargarizans (Asiatic toad), 683 nucleotides long. RefSeq lists it as uncharacterized. Lineage: Eukaryota; Metazoa; Chordata; Amphibia; Anura; Bufonidae. The transcript has 2 exons. The record is from RefSeq and is a predicted model, not a curated record.
CGUGGCCUUGGGGUCUCGUUAGAUCUGGUGCAACGGUCCGUGAGUAGCGGACUGCAACUAAACCGUCUACUGUAUAAUCACGAAGAACGUUAUCGCAGUGCACAAAAGACAAGCUACUUACAAAUUCACCUCUGCUACAUCUGUAUGCUUUCUAUGUCCUGUAUUGCUACAAAGGAAAUCCUGAAUAUGAUUGCUAGGUGGGCACUGAGGACUGCAGUUGAGGAACACUGCGCUAGAGUGAUCCCACAGUUUUCAAAAUGUACCUGUUGCUACAAGAGCUGAGAAGAUGGUGAGAAUUCCAAGGGUGGACGUCAUGGUGGUCUCCUCUGGGACGGUCGCAGCUGGUGAUGUGCAGACUUGGAUAGGGGACAACAAUGUAUAUAGUUUUACAAUGGGCGGGGAAGAUCGUCAUUUCAAGGAAAGAGCAGUCAGAUCAGGAAGACGAAACCAGAUCAAAGUUGGUCAGAACAAUAUCUUGCAGUAAGUAUUCAGUUUAAUGGCAAAGUCUGAUUUCAAACAAGCAGCUAAUCGAUUGUUAGUACUUUUGAGUGUCCUGAGGUCUAAAGUCUGCAGAGUCUUAAAGAGCUUUGACCGCAAAUGUCACUGGUGUCAUAUUAACCUCUUAAUGCAUAAUCAAUUACAUACAUGUACAGUAUUUGCAUUAAAGGAAUUGCCCCACUUCA